Non-coding RNA from Oryza sativa Japonica Group (Japanese rice), 532 nucleotides. Lineage: Eukaryota; Viridiplantae; Streptophyta; Magnoliopsida; Poales; Poaceae. The record is from RefSeq and is a predicted model, not a curated record.
CUCCUCUGCCGCCCACUCCGCUCCGCUCGCCUGCGCGCGCUCUUGUUUCGGUGUACAGUCUACAUAUGGAGAAUCGAUUGUGAUGACAUUCCGAUGGCAUACCCGUAUGUGGAGUUCCAGAGAGGUCUGCCCAUAGAAAUCUAGCCACUUUGCUCUGAAUCCUGACUGGUUUGCAGUUGCAGCCAUGGUGAGCGAGCUCAUCAAAUCAUCCCCGCAAGCGAGGGGGAGAUGCACACAAGAACGACGGACGGAGAGGAUUAGUCAGUGAAACAAAAACAAAAAAGAGAAAAGAUUGCAAGAACUGAAGAAAUGCAUUGGGCACUAGCCAGUAGGACCUAUCAACGAGCCAAGCUGAGAUUGUAAUUUGCUGUACAUGGUGUAAGGUAUGCCAAUAUAUGUUUGAGGGAACUCCUCUAGCUUGCACCACAUGACUGUGGCCAAGAGAGUAGGCAAGUAGCUUGCUUCGUUAAGGUGUAUACGUACCAUCGCACUUUUUGAGAAAUUAAUCUCCAGACCAAUAGCAAGAGAGAAA